Molecule: ribosomal RNA, 395 nt
Filed under: uncultured bacterium
Lineage: Bacteria
Description: partial 16S ribosomal RNA
Rfam family: Bacterial small subunit ribosomal RNA
Source: RNAcentral
AUACGGAGGAUGCGAGCGUUAUCCGGAUUUAUUGGGUUUAAAGGGUGCGUAGGCGGAUUAUUAAGUCAGUGGUGAAAUCCCCGGGCUCAACCUGGGAAUUGCAUCUGUGACUGCAUAGCUAGAGUACGGUAGAGGGGGAUGGAAUUCCGCGUGUAGCAGUGAAAUGCGUAGAUAUGCGGAGGAACACCGAUGGCGAAGGCAAGCCCCUGGGCCUGUACUGACGCUCAUGCACGAAAGCGUGGGGAGCAAACAGGAUUAGAUACCCUGGUAGUCCACGCCCUAAACGAUGUCAACUGGUUGUUGGGUCUUCAUUGACUCAGUAACGAAGCUAACGCGUGAAGUUGACCGCCUGGGGAGUACGGCCGCAAGGUUGAAACUUAAAGGAAUUGACGGGG